GUUCAGCUCAGCAAUGUUAACCACUCUUUGUCAUUAAAACUAUGAAUGCUCAUGUUAAAAGUGAUCCAAAAGAAAUACUCCAAAUUACAUGAGUGUGAUUCCUUGGCUUCCAAAGGGCUAAAGCACGUCAAAAGAGGUCACGCACUAGGUUAUUCAACUUUGAGACCCAUACAUUUACCUUUAAAUGAGCUUAGCUGACUUAAAAACUUAAACCAACCCCAAAAAAUAAAGUUCAAGCUUA
RNAcentral lists this unclassified non-coding RNA (241 nucleotides) under Hevea brasiliensis (rubber tree). The record is from RNAcentral. Lineage: Eukaryota; Viridiplantae; Streptophyta; Magnoliopsida; Malpighiales; Euphorbiaceae.